Molecule: long non-coding RNA, 2418 nt
Filed under: Mus musculus (house mouse)
Lineage: Eukaryota; Metazoa; Chordata; Mammalia; Rodentia; Muridae
Description: long non-coding RNA chr11:121307476-121309894
Source: RNAcentral
AUAAUGGGGUCUUUGACAUUUCAUAUCACUCCAUUUCUACUCUGGAAAUUUGAGAUUCAUUUGGGGGAAAGAGCGUCAUUCUGUUUGUUUCUGUGGUUUGAUUUUAGCCCGUGGGAUGGUUUGCUCUAGUCUGUCCUGCCUGUGUUUGGGUGGCUCUCCCUUAGGACACCUACCUGCCCGUUUCCGUUUAGAGCAGUUACCUGAUGAAUUUGACCUACCUUGUGCCAUUGUAGAGGGUGGGUGGGCUGAGGCUGCAUGGACCCAUGAGGCCAGGGGGCAUUGGGACAAGAGACCCUGGGAGCCUUCCAGCCGUCAGGCUGCACGCACGUACCUGCUCUAGCUUGCUGGGUUUGUUGUUUGUUUCUUUAUGUAGACUUUGUCCUUGGCGUAAUUUCCCACUCUAGUAAAACAAGUCUCCUAAAUAUUGUGUAUGCUUAAAGCAACAGAUCCCUCCCUCCUGGGAAACAGAUCCAGGCCUCUGUCACGCCUUUUCAGACCAAGGUCAUAAAUCUCUCUCUCCCAGAACCUGGGGAAUCAUAGAGGUCAGCUCUGGCCUCUGACUGGCUAUCUGUAUGGCACACUCGCAGCAAGAGCUGGUGGAGAGAUGUUGCCAGUUAACUUGAGGGUCUUGGGAGUAAGACCCUGCAGCCAAGUAUCAAGCAUUCAGGCCAUUUUAUGAUUCUCAAGAGGUUUCUCUGGAUUUUCAGAAUGACGUCCCACACUAAUCCUGACUUAUGUCACAUAGCAAGUAAACUAAGAGGGAAGGGUGAGGAGAAGUGGGGAGGCCAGCAGCCCAGCCCACACUCAGGAUCACCGCUCACCUUUCCAGAGCAUUCUGGACUGAGCUGAGCAACAGGCAGAGGGCGUUAGCCUCAUUGUGAGGUUUUUUUUUCCCUGAUGUCAUCAUCAUAACGUUAUUUAUUUAAAUGUAGUUAUUUUGGUAUUUAAUUUUUUUUAAGAGAGGGGGGGAAACCCUGUAUUUUCCUGGUAGAAUGAAAUGGCUCAGAAUGGUAUAUUUAGGCAAUUUAAAACAUUAUUUACAUAAAGACCAAAUAUGAUAAGUCUGUUCUAAGUAUUGCUUCACCCACAGUAUGGAGCUGUCACAAUGUUACUGCAGAUGAUGCGUGUUGACAUGGAGUUACUGCACCCAAGCUGGAUUUAUAUAACUCAGCCACUUAAACAAUAAAGGUGAGACAUGAUGCGAGUGAGAACAUGUGUGUGCCCACCGCAGUCUGCCUCCUCCAUCGUUUCUGCAGGUAACCUCGGAAUGUCUGUCUCGUAAAGGUUUGCAGUUUGCAGAGUACUUUAAUUUGGGUUAUAUUGUGCCCAGCAUGUGCAUCCAGACUAUGGGCCUCAGUUAACGUGGUACACUGGCAGGCCGCUGCCCUAGUCAAGGGUGGGCUCAGGUACCACCAACUGGACAUACUGUGUAUCUGGAGAUGUGUGUGUAUAGCAUGCUUGCCCAGGACUUGUUCCCUAUGAGUGAGAUCUGCAAACUCGUUACCUCUGAGCCCCAAACAGACCUUAUGGGUCUGUAGGAGUUUCUUUUGGGGAUCAUAGAAAACAUUUAAAGAUGGAAGGAGGAUUUUUUUUUUUUCUUUAAGGCCACCUUCUCAGUCUCGCGUGAGUGAAGUGUGCCAAUAGGCACACACCCAUCUUUUCUCCUUGCUGCUGUAUCGGCCUUGCUGCUGCUUUGGUCCAUAGGAAUGUAACGCUGCCAAGGAGAGGGCAGAAGCUGGACCCUUAGGUUAUUAACUGAGUACUAAACCCAGGGUUUCUUCCCAGUGUUGAAGGCACUACUUUAGUUUUAUGUUCAUCUAAGUUCCCAGAAGCCCCUCCAUACACCAGAGCUGGGCUCACGUGCUUUGGCCCUCAGCAGAGGUCUGAUGUGGGAACGUACUAUCCUGACACAAGGAGCUCACAGCAGUCCCCAGUGCCUGUGGCACCACUGCUAAAUGCUUAUGGAGUCUCACUUUGACCUUUACCAAACUUCUGAGCUCCCUCAGGAACGAGAUAACUUCAGCAGCGUAGGCUUGAACCACACCGACCACAAAGGGAAGCUCACCUGUGUCCUGGGUACGGUGCAUUCCAGAAUGUGUGUGGCAUAACAUUGUAUAGCUAUUUCCCACACUGUAGAAUGUGUUCACAGACAGCAGCUGGUCUCCGUAAAUACCCCACCCCACUUCCUUGUCCUCUGCUGGGGAGCUGGUCACAGAGUAGCCGUAGUAGUUCAGAAGGGGUCGGGGAGCAUCAGGACUUGGGUUUUCUAUGCUGUGUGACACAAGGAGAGAAGUGACAAUCGUGAAGGCCAAGCAUCUGCAGCUCAGAGGAAGCAGAGUGCUGAUCUGUGUGCAAAGAUUUGGAAUUUUUAAAAAGUACCAAGUUCCUGAAAUUCAAUAAAAUAUUUUUAUUAAUUUU